GGGAAUGUAGCUUAGUGGUAGAGUGCUUGCCUAGCUUGCAUGAAGCCCUGGGUUCAAUUCCUCAGUACCA
Molecule: non-coding RNA, 70 nt
Organism: Dipodomys ordii (Ord's kangaroo rat)
Lineage: Eukaryota; Metazoa; Chordata; Mammalia; Rodentia; Heteromyidae
Source: Rfam